GGAGUUAGCCGGUGCUUCUUCUGUGAGUGAUGUCCUUCCUGCCGGCUAUUAACCCGCAGGCCUUCUUCCUCACUGAAAGUGCUUUACAACCCGAAGGCCUUCUUCACACACGCGGCAUGGCUGGAUCAGGGUUGCCCCCAUUGUCCAAUAUUCCCCACUGCUGCCUCCCGUAGGAGUCUGGGCCGUGUCUCAGUCCCAGUGUGGCUGAUCAUCCUCUCAGACCAGCUACGGAUCGUCGCCUUGGUGAGCCGUUACCUCACCAACCAGCUAAUCCGACAUAGGCUCAUCCGAUAGCGCGAGGCCCGAAGGUCCCCCGCUUUCCCCCGUAGGGCGUAUGCGGUAUUAGCCUGGGUUUCCCCAGGUUAUCCCCCACUACCGGGCAGAUUCCUAUGCAUUACUCACCCGUCCGCCGCUCGCCACCAGGGAGCAAGCUACCCGUGCUGCCGCUCGACUUGCAUGUGUUAGGCCUGCCGCCAGCGUUCAAUCUGAGCCAGAAUCGAACCCUGA
RNAcentral lists this ribosomal RNA (507 nucleotides) under uncultured bacterium. RNAcentral describes it as "partial 16S ribosomal RNA". The record is from RNAcentral.